RNAcentral lists this ribosomal RNA (500 nucleotides) under uncultured Glomeromycotina. RNAcentral's name for it is "partial small subunit ribosomal RNA". It matches the Rfam family "Eukaryotic small subunit ribosomal RNA", at positions 591 to 1092 of the family's 1831-position model. Lineage: Eukaryota; Fungi; Glomeromycota. The record is from RNAcentral.
CCAAUAGCGUAUAUUAAAGUUGUUGCAGUUAAAAAGCUCGUAGUUGAAUUUCGGGGUUAGUAGGUUGGUCAUGCCUCUGGUAUGUACUGGUCUCACUGAUUCCUCCUUCCUGAUGAACUGUAAUGCCAUUAAUUUGGUGUUGCGGGGAAUCUGGACUGUUACUUUGAAAAAAUUAGAGUGUUUAAAGCAGGCUAACGCUUGAAUACAUUAGCAUGGAAUAAUGAAAUAGGACGUUCGAUCCUAUUUUGUUGGUUUCUAGGAUUGACGUAAUGAUUAAUAGGGAUAGUUGGGGGCAUUAGUAUUCAAUUGUCAGAGGUGAAAUUCUUGGAUUUAUUGAAGACUAACUACUGCGAAAGCAUUUGCCAAGGAUGUUUUCAUUAAUCAAGAACGAAAGUUAGGGGAUCGAAGACGAUCAGAUACCGUCGUAGUCUUAACCAUAAACUAUGCCGACUAGGGAUCGGAUGAUGUUAAUUUUUUAAUGACUCAUUCGGCGCCUUACG